Molecule: long non-coding RNA, 1457 nt
Filed under: Scleropages formosus (Asian bonytongue)
Lineage: Eukaryota; Metazoa; Chordata; Actinopteri; Osteoglossiformes; Osteoglossidae
Description: lncRNA (ENSSFOG00015027772.1)
Source: RNAcentral
UUUUUAUCUAAAAUUUGGACAAUUCCCUAUGUUAUUUAUUUGUUAAAUAGGUACUGAAAAAUUAAACAUUAUUUGAUGAAUUAUGGUGAAUAAUUACAUUUUGGGUCAGCAGUCCAUUGGAAAACAAUGCCCCUAUUUUGUAAUUUUCUCUUCCUCCUUCCUGUUUCUCUGUCUCUAUUUCCUUAUUCUCAGUCUAUCCUUCCUGGUCCUUUUGUCCCUAUUUCCUUAUUCUCCAUCUCUCCUUCCUGGUCCUUUGUCCCUAUUUCCUUCUUCUCUGCCUCUCCUUCCUGGUCCUUUGUCCCUAUUUCCUUCUUCUCUGCCUCUCCUUCCUGGUCCUUUGUCCCUAUUUCCUUAUUUUCCAUCUCUCCUUCCUGGUCCUUUGUCCCUAUUUCCUUCUUCUCUGCCUCUCCUUCCUGGUCCUUUGUCCCUAUUUCCUUAUUCUCCAUCUCUCCUUCUUGGUCCUUUUGUCCCUAUUUCCUUAUUCUUCAUCUCUCCUUCCUGGUCCUUUGUCCCUAUUUCCUUCUUCUCUGCCUCUCCUUCCUGGUCCUUUGUCCCUAUUUCCUUAUUCUCCAUCUCUCCUUCUUGGUCCUUUUGUCCCUAUUUCCUUAUUCUUCAUCUCUCCUUCCUGGUCCUUUGUCCCUAUUUCCUUCUUCUCUGCCUCUCCUUCCUGGUCCUUUGUCCCUAUUUCCUUAUUUUCCAUCUCUCCUUCCUGGUCCUUUGUCCCUAUUUCCUUCUUCUCUGCCUCUCCUUCCUGGUCCUUUGUCCCUAUUUCCUUAUUCUCCAUCUCUCCUUCUUGGUCCUUUUGUCCCUAUUUCCUUAUUCUUCAUCUCUCCUUCCUGGUCCUUUGUCCCUAUUUCCUUCUUCUCUGCCUCUCCUUCUUGGUCCUUUGUCCCUAUUUCCUUAUUCUUCAUCUCUCCUUCCUGGUCCUUUGUCCCUAUUUCCUUCUUCUCUGCCUCUCCUUCCUGGUCCUUUGUCCCUAUUUCCUUAUUUUCCAUCUCUCCUUCCUGGUCCUUUGUCCCUAUUUCCUUCUUCUCUGCCUCUCCUUCCUGGUCCUUUGUCCCUAUUUCCUUAUUCUCCAUCUCUCCUUCUUGGUCCUUUUGUCCCUAUUUCCUUAUUCUUCAUCUCUCCUUCCUGGUCCUUUGUCCCUAUUUCCUUCUUCUCUGCCUCUCCUUCCUGGUCCUUUGUCCCUAUUUCUUUAUUCUUCAUCUCUCCUUCCUGGUCCUUUGUCCCUAUUUCCUUCUUCUCUGCCUCUCCUUCCUGGUCCUUUGUCCCUAUUUCCUUAUUCUCCAUCUCUCCUUCUUGGUCCUUUGUCCCUAUUUCCUUCUUCUCUGCCUCUCCUUCCUGGUCCUUUGUCCCUAUUUCCUUCUUCUCCAUCUCUCCUUCUUGGUCCUUUUGUCCCUAUUUCCUUAUUCUUCAUCUCUCCUUCCUGGUCCUUUGUCCCUAUUUCCUUCUUCUCU